Molecule: non-coding RNA, 28 nt
Filed under: Rattus norvegicus (Norway rat)
Lineage: Eukaryota; Metazoa; Chordata; Mammalia; Rodentia; Muridae
Source: RNAcentral
UGGGAACUACCAUGAACUACUUACUAAA